AUUGAACGCUGGCGGCAGGCCUAACACAUGCAAGUCGAACGAGUGGCGGACGGGUGAGUAAUGUCUGGGAAACUGCCCGAUGGAGGGGGAUAACUACUGGAAACGGUAGCUAAUACCGCAUACCAUCGGAUGUGCCCAGAUGGGAUUAGCUAGGAGGUGGGGUAACGGCUCACCUGGGCGACGAUCCCUAGAUGCGUUGAGAGGAUGACCAGCCACACUGGAACUAGAACACGGUCCAGGCUCCUACGCGAGGCGGCAGUGGAGAAUAUUGCACAGUGGGCGCAAGCCUGAUGCAGCCAUGCCGCGUGUAUGAAGAAGGCCUUCGGGUUGUAAAGUACUUUCAGCGAGGAGGCGUUACUCGCAGAAGAAACACCGGCUAACUCCGUGCCAGCAGCCGCGGUAAUAA
This 406-nucleotide ribosomal RNA is filed under the name uncultured bacterium. RNAcentral describes it as "partial 16S ribosomal RNA". It matches the Rfam family "Bacterial small subunit ribosomal RNA", at positions 30 to 526 of the family's 1533-position model. The record is from RNAcentral.